GGGACCUAAGGCGAGGCCGAGAGGCGUAGCCGAUGGACAACAGGUUGAGAUUCCUGUACUGCUGUAUAUCAGAACUGUGGGGACACAGAGGGAAAGCACAGGCGCGGAACGGAAAGCCGCGUGCAAGCGAGGUACCGGACUGGUAGGAAAAACCGCCAGUCAACGGGAAGGCGUGAUGCGUACCGAAAUCAAGUAGGGAAGUGUGUGAGCCAGCUGUCAAGAAAAGCCGCUAUUGCGUAUACAGUACCCGUACCGUAAACCGACACAGGUGGAUGAGGAGAGAAUCCUAAGGCCGGCGGAAGAAGUAUUGUCAAGGAACUCGGCAAAAUGACCCUGUAACUUCGGGAGAAAGGGUGCCUCGAAAGAGGCCGCAGAGAAUUGGGCCAAGCAACUGUUUAGCAAAAACACAGGUCUAUGCGAAACCGAAAGGUGAGGUAUAUGGGCUGACGCCUGCCCGGUGCUGGAAGGUUAAGGGGAGAUGUUAGAGCAAUCGAAGCAUUGAACUUAAGCCCCAGUAAACGGCGGCCGUAACAAUAACGGUCCUAAGGUAGCGAAAUUCCUUGUCGGGUAAGUUCCGACCCGCACGAAAGGCGUAAUGAUUUGGGCGCUGUCUCGACAAUACAUCCGGUGAAAUUGAAGUACCAGUGAAGAUGCUGGUUACCCGCGCCAGGACGGAAAGACCCCAUGGAGCUUUACUCCAGCUUGAUACUGGGAUUCGGUAUUGCAUGUACAGGAUAGGUGGGAGGCUAAGAAGCAUGGACGCCAGUCUAUGUGGAGCCGCUGUUGGGAUACCACCCUUGCGGUAUUGGAUUUCUAACCAGCCGCCGUGAAACCGGCGGUGGGACAAUGUCAGGCGGGGAGUUUGACUGGGGCGGUCGCCUCCGAAAGGGUAUCGGAGGCGCCCAAAGGUUCCCUCAGAAUGGUUGGAAACCAUUCGAAGAGUGCAAAGGCAGAAGGGAGCUUGACUGUGACACCGACGGGUGGAGCAGGUACGAAAGUAGGGCUUAGUGAUCCGGUGGUAUUAAGUGGGAAUGCCAUCGCUCAACGGAUAAAAGCUACCCUGGGAUAACAGGCUUAUCACUCCCAAGAGUUCACAUCGACGGAGUGGUCUGGCACCUCGAUGUCGGCUCAUCGCAUCCUGGGGCUGUAGUAGGUCCCAAGGGUUGGGCUGUUCGCCCAUUAAAGCGGUACGCGAGCUGGGUUCAGAACGUCGUGAGACAGUUCGGUCCCUAUCCGGCGUGGGCGCAGGAUAUUUGAGAGGAGCUGUCCUUAGUACGAGAGGACCGGGAUGGACUGACCUCUGGUGCACCGGUUGUUCCGCCAGGAGCAUAGCCGGGUAGCCAAGUCGGGAAGGGAUAAACGCUGAAGGCAUCUAAGCGUGAAGCCCCCCUCAAGAUGAGAUAUCCCAUGCGAAAGCGAUAAGACCCCUUGAAGACGACGAGGUAGAUAGGUCAGAGGUGGAAGCACAGCAAUGUGUGGAGCUGACUGAUACUAAUAGGUCGAAGGCUUAACCGA
This 1515-nucleotide ribosomal RNA is filed under the name metagenome. Its description in RNAcentral is "bacterial LSU rRNA". It matches the Rfam family "Bacterial large subunit ribosomal RNA", at positions 1386 to 2925 of the family's 2925-position model. The record is from RNAcentral.